RNAcentral lists this ribosomal RNA (874 nucleotides) under uncultured organism. RNAcentral's name for it is "bacterial SSU rRNA". It matches the Rfam family "Bacterial small subunit ribosomal RNA", at positions 1 to 869 of the family's 1533-position model. The record is from RNAcentral.
GGCUUAGAGCCUGAUCAUGGAUCAGGAUGAAAGCUAGCUACCGGCUUAACACAUGCAAGUCCAGGGGCAGCAUGAACUUAACUUGCUAAGUUUGAUGGCCACCGGCGCACGGGUGAGUAACACGUAUCCAACCUGCCGAUGACUCGGGGAUAGCCUUUCGAAAGAAAGAUUAAUACCCGAUGGCAUAGUUCUUCCGCAUGGUGGAACUAUUAAAGAAUUUCGGUCAUCGAUGGGGAUGCGUUCCAUUAGGUUGUUGGCGGGGUAACGGCCCACCAAGCCUUCGAUGGAUAGGGGUUCUGAGAGGAAGGUCCCCCACAUUGCAACUGAGACACGGUCCAAACUCCUACGGGAGGCAGCAGUGAGGAAUAUUGGUCAAUGGACGAGAGUCUGAACCAGCCAAGUAGCGUGAACGAUGACUGCCCUAUGGGUUGUAAACUUCUUUUAUACGGGAAUAAAGUGAGGCACGUGUGCCUUUUUGUAUGUACCGUAUGAAUAAGGAUCGGCUAACUCCGUGCCAGCAGCCGCGGUAAUACGGAGGAUCCGAGCGUUAUCCGGAUUUAUUGGGUUUAAAGGGAUCGUACGCGGACGCUUAAGUCAGCUGUGAAAGUUUGCGGCUCACCCGUAAAUUUGCAGUUGAUACUGGGUGUCUUGAGUACAGGAGAGGCAGGCGGAAUUCGUGCUGUAGCGCUGAAAUGCUUACAUAUCACGAAUAACUCCGAUCUGCGAAGGCAGCUUGCUGGACUGUAACUGACGCUGAUGCUCGAAAGUGUGGGUAUCAACCAGGAUUAGAUACCCUGGUAUUCCACACAGUAAACGAUGAAUACUCGCUGUUUGCGAUAUACAGCAAGCGGCCAGCGAAAGUCCUAAACUAUUU